AGACGAACCGUCCAAACGUUAUUCGGAAUCACUGGGCUUAAAGGGUGCGUAGGCGGCAUAGUAAGUUGGGUGUGAAAUCCCACGGCUCAACCGUGGAACUGCGCUCAAUACUGCUAUGCUUGAGGGAGAUAGAGGUGAGCGGAACUAAUGGUGGAGCGGUGAAAUGCGUUGAUAUCAUUAGGAACACCAGUUGCGAAAGCGGCUCACUGGAUCUCUUCUGACGCUGAGGCACGAAAGCUAGGGUAGCGAACGGGAUUAGAAACCCCAGUAGUCC
Molecule: ribosomal RNA, 274 nt
Filed under: uncultured bacterium
Lineage: Bacteria
Description: partial 16S ribosomal RNA
Rfam family: Bacterial small subunit ribosomal RNA
Source: RNAcentral